AAUCUAAUUUAGCAGCUUUAAACUAAACAGGAAAGAGAAUAAUGCCUAACAGAGAAAUAAGAAAUUAGUAUACGAAGCACCCACACACUCCAAAUGAUGCAUCAAUUUCCAAUAGUUUGGAUCAAGACACAGUCUUCAAACAUCCAGGGGCCUUACUCCACCUCUCCCUUGGGGUACUGCGGACGCUCCCAGUGUGGUUCUCACCCAGAAGGGCUUUAUGUUUUCAUUGUCUCCCUUUAGUUAAAGGCUCUCUAUACCCCAAAUAUUAUUUUCCAUGACUAGAGUGAACUGUCUGCAUCUUAACCAGUUCUACCAUAUUGAACAUUAUUCCUCCUUGGAUGGCAAAGAAGGAUCCAAAGCACUUUGCUUAACAAAUUACAGUAAAUCUUUGGCUCUAGCUUCAUGUACCUAGAACUCCUUCAUAAGCAGUUCCAGAAAAUUUCUUACCUUUGUGCGAACAGUGGCAGAAGUGUCACCCAUGAGCAUGGCAUUUCACCAGCAGCUGCUAAAACAGGUGUAGAGAGGAUUUGUGGCUAAGGGAGGUGAUGUCUGAUUUGAGUAAUUAAGUCAAUUCAUUUUGCAUUAUCAACAGUAAACAUCAUUACACCAGUUAUGUCAACCCCGCUACCUCGUGAUAGUGCUGCAAUCAGAGGCUGAUUGAAACUAAAGACGUAGUUAUUCAAUAAUGGAUGUGAAUGUAGCAAUAUACACAUGCAACAUUAACUUAAUUUAUAAUGCUUUGGGAUGUGGUAAAACAGCAUUCAUUGCCUCCUAUCCCUGUGGCAGGAAGAACAUUGAUGGUGGUGCAUGAAUUGGCCUCAGUGUAACUGUGUGCAUGAUCUGGGCGUUAUAGCACAAUCCUUAUAGAAAGUUUAAUUCUAAGUUCAGAGCAGAGCGCACAUGUUUCCAAGGCAGUCUCCCAUCCAAAAAAGGACUAGGCCCAAACUUCCUGCAGAGACUCAGGCACUAAACUACAUCAAGUGGCUUCAGAUAAUAUCUUUGGCUUGAAUCAAGUAAUUAAGGUUGCAAUCCUAAAGUGGUGGGGAAGGAAGAGCAAAGGCAGACAAAUCACCUCAUCCAAUGCCUUUGUGCUCCUCUGCCCUUUUCUGGGCUUUUCUUUAACCAUUUCUCUCCCAUUACAAAUGAUGAGAGGGAAAUUCUCUCUGCCAGCUCUGGAGCUGGUGCAGCUAUCUCCCUGGUUGCAGGGAGUGCUUUGGAGGCUACAGGCCCUGUGGAUUCAUGCUCCGCUCCAGUCCACACUUUCCGCAUUCCUGAUCCAUCCCAGGCCUACUGCACCAGAGCUCUGAUGUUGCUAGAGCAAGGGCUACAGAGCUUUCUGCAGCCGCGGAGAGGAGGGAUCAGGCAUCAGAUUGGGCCUGAGAUUGGCUCUGGCUCCACCUUCUGUUGGCCUUGCAGCCUUCCACCCUCCCAGUCCCAAUAGGCACCAGUCACCACUGGUUUCUACAGUAGUAGAGAGGAGAAAUCCAACAUCAGAUCAACCUCUCUGGAUUGGACAACACAGAGGCCAGAGGGAGACCUGGGUCACCAGCCCAGGGACCAGAGGAUGGCAAAGCCAUAAAACCUUCUCUCUUCUCAGCGAAUUGUUAUGUUCUUGACGCCCUAUAGCCCAAACUCUUCAUAAUAGACAUUGUUACUUUGUUCACAUAAAAGCUCUCUAGAACAAGAAAUGACUCUUACUCAUUCGCUUGCAGUACAAAAUAAUUCCUAAUUGCAACUUUGCUUUUCAUCUGGAAGAAAAACAAACAUCAUGAGCUAUCAGUAGUAAUUAAAUGAAGAUCGCGUCACACGCUCUAUUAGCUGUAAUAUUCCUGCACGAGUCAAUAUAAAGUUUUAGAGGCACUUUCACAAUUGUUUCUCCCCAGGGAUAUCUCACUCGGUUACAUCUCUUGUCCCCUGAGAACUGCUUGCGUGUUUGUCUGUGCAGCUUUCUGAUUAACUUUUUAUCCUGCUGAAUUUGGCAAUAGAACAGCAUUUGGGUAUGAAUUUUAAUUUGGUAGCAUACUGCAAGCUCGUCUUAGUUAGGGCAUGCAAACCCCUUUUGCAAAGCCACUUCCGGAGUGGCGCCAUCGGCAAUGGCGGACUCCCUCUGAACUGGAGGGACUAGCUCCGCGCGAAACGGGUCUUUUCCGCUAUGGCGAAGCGGGGACCCUUUUAAAAAUCACAGGCGGAUGAAGCCUGUGACCAUGGGACUCGGCGGGCACCCUUAACGCCCCCCCAACCCGCAAAGGAACCCACUAACGGGCUCCGAAGCGAAGAGGGGGAAGUGGCGCAGUGCUGUGAGUCAACUGCUAUUUCCGUGGAGCGAAGCCGCAUAGCCGUUGCCGGAGAGCGCUGCCUUUUUUCCUGGGACAAUUUGGCUUCUAAAAUAAGCACCCGUGAGUACUUAAACUUUGAACAAAUUGGACUUUAAAUAAGGAUUUGCGAGCAGAAAGGAAUUGGAUUUAAAAAUUUACUUCAAUUUGGUACUGAAACGGGAAGGUCUAAACAGGAAGUCAGCCUUCCGUUUCUUUGUAGACAGAAUAAAGCAAAGACAACGUAAACUAAAGCUCAGAAAAUCACUUCUAAAGGAUCGGCUUUCAUCAUUUAAAAUCCUCGAACCCCCCUUCGGCAGCAGGAGAAGAAGGGGGAUCUUUUUUGGACUGUUUAAACCUGCAGAAGUGAGGUUAAAGUAAAGUAACUUUCCACCGUCCUGAUCCUGGAGCGGGGUGUCAGGACUGACGUUUGAAGCUCAUUGACCAGAAACAAACGUUUUUGACAGAUAGCUAAAAGAAGAGAAACAUAGUGAUUCCACUGUUUCCUUUCGCAUUUUAAAGGGACAAAUAUUGACAAAAUAUCUCAAAAAAGAAACUUUGUUGCAAGAACAAUUCGACGUUUUCCCCCUAGAGGGAGACUGGGAAACUGUAACUAAUUACAGGGAGCUUGCAGCUGUCACAGAUUACAAUCGUGGGAAAAGGCUUGUGACCUUGUAGGACAAUGUAUUCAGAAGCUCUGUUGUGUGCUCUCUGUAAAAUAAAUGCUCUACUGGAACAGUUAACUGAGAAGACGGAUUUGAUGACUAAUGCGGUCAGAAUUUUUGAACAGGCAGUGGGAAACUAUAUGGAGCCCACCCAGGAAUUAAAUCAGGAGUGUGCCCUGACAGAACAGAUGAGAGAAGAGGAUGUUGCGGAAUCUUGGGCGCCAGAGAUGGAGGGAGCUGCGGCCCAGCAGGAACAUGAGCUUUUGGAUUUGACAAAUGAACUUGGAAAAAGCCAGAUUAGGAAAGAUAAAGUUUGGAAGACUUCCGGAGGUGGCGCCAGCGGUCGAUGGCGGAUUUCCUCGGCUAGAGGGAAUCAGCGCCACGAAAAAAGGGGUCGGAUCCCGCUUCGGCGCAGCGGGGGACCCUCAAAAAUCACAGGCGGGGGAAGCCUGUGAGCCUGGGACCCAGCGGGCACAUUUGGCGCCCCCCCAACCCGGUAAAAAGCCCAGCAACGGGCUCGAAAUCGGAGCGGGGGAGAGCGCUGUGCUGUGGGCUGUCUGCUCGUUCGUGGUGUGAAGCCGCAAGCUGUUGACCGGAGAGCGCUGCCUUUCUUCCUUGAAAUCCGGACCUGAAAAUCAACGAUCCGUGAGUAGGAUAUAGUCUAAUUGGAACUGUACAAACUGGAAUCUGGCCGAAAACGGAAAGAGGUUUAAAGGAAGUCAGCCUCUUUCCUUGUAGAUAAAAUAAAGCAUUGAACUUGAAAGCGGAAGCAUUUGAAAAGCACGUUUUAGCGGACUUUAAUCCAAUCAUCCAACCUGGACUUUUCCAUCUUUAAAUUGAGGGAAAAGGGGGGAGAAUUGUGGAUGUGAUUUCUUCAUAAAGAAGUGGAAAAGAAGGGAUUAAACCAUCACUCAAUUCCCUGGGAAAGGAUCUCCAGAGGUAACUUAGGAAAGAAAGAGAGGUACUGUCUUGCAAUAUAUUUUGACAGCUAGUCCUGCACAGGAAAUAAAAGUUUGGACAAAUUAUGUGAAUAUAUAUCUCCUGGUCCUAAGUUAAAAAUUGUGAAUAGACUGUUUUCUUCCUGAAUAAACUAGAGGGGCUUAAAAAAGAAACUAAAGUAUCCAAGAACUUUUAUGACUGUUACAGUGUCCCCCUAGUGGAAUUUGGAACUGUUACAACUUGUUAUAAUUGAAACUGUAGCGGGCUUGAGGAGUUCUCACACUGCUUGGUAGGAAAUUUCCACUGUUUAAUUUCAACUACGUGACUGACCUUGAGCAUUAUCUAAGGAAUGGCAGAUGGUAAAGAGAAGGCGGAUGCAUCGACUACAAGAUCGGGGAGGACUAUUCACACAGAAGAAGGAUUACAAAGGAGAUCUUCGGCCUCAGGCCCUUCUGGAACCUCAACAACAGCCUCAUCGGCACAAUUAAAGGUAAAAAGUACGGCAAGUGAUGACGCCUUUGCUCAAGUUUUGGCCAAAGUUAAUGAAUCUUUAAAUAGAAUAAGCCAACAAGUAGCAGAGGCAUGCGACAAGAUUGAUCAAAAUACUGCAAGUAUAAAUAACCUGGGCCAAAAAGGAAAUACUAACACAGAGACUAUUCAGAAAUUAUUAGAGGAAUCGGCCUCAACACGCCAGAUUGCUGAAGAGGCUAAAGAAAUUGCUACAACUUCUGCUACUGAAGUUAAAGAGGUUCAAGAGGAAUUACCAACACUGCAUAAACAAUUGGAAGACCAUAAAUUAACCCUGUCUAUGAUAGAUUUGAAGGAAAAGCAAGUGAAUUUGCGGGUCAGAUCGGUACCUGAGGUGGAAAAGGACAAUCUAGCUGAAUUUCUCACGCAGGAAUUUUUGGACUUUUGGGAUCCAGAACUGGCAAAAGACAGUUUCAGAAUAGUAAAUGCUUUCAGACUUGGGAGAAGAGGAGAGAAGAAGGUGAGAGACUGUCUGAUUACUUUUCGAACAAAAGAAGAGAGGGAUAAGAUUUUGGGCCUACAUUUCAAGAAGACACUGGAAAUCCAUCGGACAAGGGUGGAAAUAUUCAAAGAUAUUCCGAAAUACCUUCUGGAUCUCAGAUCAAAAUACAAAGACUUGGUUACCCUGCUGAGAAGGAACAAUAUCAACUUUAGGUGGGAACUCUCUCAAGGCCUGUCUUUUAGCUACAAAGGAAAGAAGAGGAAAAUAAGAUCGGAAGACGACAAAGACAAAUUUUGCAGAGACCACGGAGAAGACCUACAAAAAGAACUAUUUCCGGAACCAAAAGACCGUUCGAAAGAAGGGAUACCACCGACGGAUGAGGAACAGGCACUAGGUGCAGUAGGAGGAGAACUAAAACAAUAACAUCAUGGCCCUGCAACUUUUAACAUGGAACUGUCGGGGUUUGAAUUCCCCUCAGAAAAGGAAGUCAGUAUUCCAUAUAUUAAAAAAGGAACAAUUGGACCUAAUUUGUUUACAAGAAACACAUAUAACAAGAUUACACAGGAAAUUGUUGAUAAAUAAAAGACUUGGUCAGGAAUUUAUUUCGUCAGAUAAAGUUAAAAAGAGAGGGGUUGUGAUCUACGCAAAAGACAAUUUAUCACCAAAAUUUGUUUUUAAAGAUGACCAAGGAAGAUUUGUGGCAAUUGAAAUUCAAACACAAGGAGAAAAAUUUUUGAUUGUAGGAGUUUACACACCAAAUGACGGGAAAUCUGAUUUUUUUAAGAAGUUGCAUGAGACCCUGAUGGACCAUAUGGAUCACAACAUGAUUCUGAUGGGAGAUAUGAAUGGAGUGGUAUCUACUUAUAUGGACAAGGCACAAAGACAGGUAGUCACCAAAGAUGGUAGACUACCGAAAACCUUUUUUGAUAUGACAGACAACUUGGAUUUAGUGGACAUUUGGAGAAUUAGAAACCCCUUGGCUAAAGAGGGAACUUUCUUUUCUGAAGCCAAAAUGACUUGGACAAGAAUUGACCAAAUUUGGAUAACUAGAGGAAUGGCACCAAAGACAAGAAAGGUGGAAAUCUGCCCGAAAAUUUGCUCCGACCACAAUGCUGUUAAGAUGGAAAUGAGACUAACACCAACUGGCUCCUUCAGAUGGAAGAUGAAUGACACCUUAUUUAGAGAUGAAGAAUUUCUUAAGAAGGCCCAAAAAACUCUAAGAGAUUACUUCGAGAUAAAUCUUAGUUCCAACGUGGAGAAAAGAGUAAUCUGGGAUGCAAGUAAAGCGGUUAUGAGAGGGUUCUUAAUACAACAGAAUGCGAUAAAGAAAAGAACUCAAAAUGAGAAGAAGGAUAAAAUUAUG
RNAcentral lists this long non-coding RNA (6249 nucleotides) under Podarcis lilfordi (Lilford's wall lizard). The record is from RNAcentral. Lineage: Eukaryota; Metazoa; Chordata; Lepidosauria; Squamata; Lacertidae.